This is a non-coding RNA of Megalopta genalis, 1628 nucleotides long. NCBI's taxonomy places the organism in Eukaryota, Metazoa, Arthropoda, Insecta, Hymenoptera, Halictidae. The record is from RefSeq and is a predicted model, not a curated record.
UAAUUUUAUUUGUUACUUUUUAUUUCUAUUCUAUAAUAUCAGUUUUUUCGAAACAAACCGUAUCACAUGAUGCAGUAAACCAAGUCAUUUUUGGACAGUAAAAAUUAGUUGGUCGAUUUUGAUUAAUAAAUCUAUGAUGUCUUACCUAAAGAUACUCAUCUAUACUUUAUAUUUAACAAUUUUACAAUCACGGUUCGUUGGUUUUAAUGAAAAAGAGAAAUAUCACCAAUAAAACAAGAACAUAUCUUCAAAAUCGUGGGUAAUAAUUUCCGACGUGGUAGUGUCUUGUUUUGCAAAAAAAUUUUCUCCUCCUUUGCUGCAUUUCUGCAGCGAGUGUUCUACCCGAGUGUUUUUUCGACACUAACUUACUAUUUUACUAUCACUGUAACAAUUUUAUCUUCUUAAUUAACCACAUUAGCUCCAUUACUAUCACAAUUACGCAAGGAAACGUUUCCGAAGGAAGUGUAGUGAUAAUAACAGUAGUAAGAUUCAGUUCUGUGUGAUAAAGGAAAUUGUUUACUAUUUCUACGAUCCUGGAAAACGUUUCUGUCGUAGAAAUACAUGGCAAUAAAUACGGGUGAAAAUAAGUUGAAACCACAAGUUAACCACAUUAGCUCCAUUACUAUAACAAUUACGCAAGGAAACGUUUCCGAAGGAUGUGCAAUGAUAAUAACCGUAGUGACAUUCGCUUCUUUGCGAUAAUGGACAAUGUUUACUAUUACUAUGAGUCUAAAAAACAUUUCUGUCGCAGAAACACAUGGCAAUAAAUAUGGAUCAGAAUCAGUUGAAAAGUUCAAAAUAGUGAUUUGUGAUGUAAUACUACUGUUCCAAAAGUACCGAAGGAACAAAUUCAAUUUUCCGAACGAGACAAUGCUCGGUUUGCUUUUUCGUUUCUUUUCAUUAUCUCAUAGCACCUUUCCAUCUCCAUCCUGUCGAUUACUAUAUCGUAUCUCAGGACUUCUAUUAUCUGCUUUCAGAAAUGUGUCAGUUCCGAGCCGGCGAAUGAAGGCAAACAGCUAUCUUCCGAGACCAGGCAAAGUCCUUUGGGUAUACCAAAGAGUCAAGUUUUCCGAGAUGUGCUUGGCUGCGUUUUUUGUGAUGCUGAUGUCCGUUCUGUGAAAGAAUCGAGCCCUUCCAAGCGUAGUGAACGUUCACGAUUUGCAUGUGUGGCAGUUGACUGGACGAAAGAUCGUCUCUACCGUUCAUAUUAUCUUCUUGGACCUUAUGCUUCAGAUUACAGUCUUAAGUGUGUUACGUUUCACACUUUAUGCACGCUAUUUACAUGGCCACAUACACGUGCAUAUGUCAGCGAUAAAAUCUAAAGCAAGUGGAAGCUAGUUUAAGCAAAAUAAUGGAGUAAGUCAGCUAAUUUUACAUGUUCGUGAAGUUAAGCAUAAGAAUUGAAUAAUAUUUGUUUAACAGAAACUUUAAUGCAAAUUAUCAUUAACACAAUUUAUAACAAUUUAUAAUACCGAAAUAUUUAAUUACAUUAAUUUUAUAAUUUGAAAUAUUUUUUCGACAGUUUUCUUUUAUUUCACUCCUGAAAUUUUCAUUACGUUAUUCAUUAAUUGUUAUCAUGUAAAACAUAAAAGACAAUGAAUUAUAAUAAAUCAACACGUCGACAAUGA